Molecule: ribosomal RNA, 388 nt
Filed under: uncultured bacterium
Lineage: Bacteria
Description: bacterial SSU rRNA
Rfam family: Bacterial small subunit ribosomal RNA
Source: RNAcentral
GACGAACGCUGGCGGCGUGCUUAACACAUGCAAGUCGAGCGGUAAGGCCCUUUCGGGGGUACACGAGCGGCGAACGGGUGAGUAACACGUGGGUGACCUGCCCUCAGCUCUGGGAUAAGCCCGGGAAACUGGGUCUAAUACCGGAUAUGACUCCAUGACGCAUGUUGUGGGGUGGGAAAGCCUUGUGCGGCUGAGGAUGGGCCCGCGGCCUAUCAGCUUGUUGGUGGGGUGAUGGCCACCAAGGCGACGACGGGUAGCCGGCCUGAGAGGGCGACCGGCCACACUGGGACUGAGAUACGGCCCAGACUCCUACGGGAGGCAGCAGUGGGGAAUCUUGCGCAAUGGGCGAAAGCCUGACGCAGCGACGCCGCGUGAGGGAUGACGGCCU